AUACUUCCCUGACAGGGGAGAUACCUAGGAAUCCAACUUCCCAGGGCAAGACUGAUCUAUUGCACUAUGGAUGUGCCGACCCCUGAGAUUUACAAAAUUGUGGGAAACUCAACUGCAUAAUUUAUGGAAAUGAAGGACUGUGUUUGCGCUUUCA
Molecule: small nuclear RNA, 154 nt
Organism: Homo sapiens (human)
Lineage: Eukaryota; Metazoa; Chordata; Mammalia; Primates; Hominidae
Source: Ensembl